AGCUUUACUUAUUAAUCACACACAAUCUUUGUCUGACGUCUUCUCAUCGGGACGUGAAAUGAUGGGAGCAUUGGCUGAACUAUACCCCAAUGCAUACUCUACCCACAUUGAUCAUGCUCCUCCUACUCAUCAUUAUAUCAUUAUGAUAUACCGGAAACUGACUCUCCACAACAAACUCCAGUGGAUAGUCAUUAUCAAGGACAUACUUCAUCAGUUACUCCUCAACAACAAC
This 232-nucleotide long non-coding RNA is filed under the name Lupinus angustifolius (narrow-leaved blue lupine). RNAcentral's name for it is "long non-coding RNA (LANG_LNC002906)". Lineage: Eukaryota; Viridiplantae; Streptophyta; Magnoliopsida; Fabales; Fabaceae. The record is from RNAcentral.